RNAcentral lists this ribosomal RNA (388 nucleotides) under Mortierella sp. Its description in RNAcentral is "partial small subunit ribosomal RNA". It matches the Rfam family "Eukaryotic small subunit ribosomal RNA", at positions 582 to 975 of the family's 1831-position model. The record is from RNAcentral. Lineage: Eukaryota; Fungi; Mortierellomycota; Mortierellomycetes; Mortierellales; Mortierellaceae.
AUUCCAGCUCCAAUAGCGUAUAUUAAAGUUGUUGCAGUUAAAAAGCUCGUAGUUGAAUUUUAGGCCUGGUUGGACGGUCUGCUCUAGGGUUUGUACUGUCCUGACUGGGUCUUACCUUCUGGUGAGCUGUCGUAUUGUUUACUCAGUGCGGCAGGGAACCAGGACUUUUACUUUGAAAAAAUUAGAGUGUUUAAAGCAGGCAUUCGCUUGAAUACAUUAGCAUGGAAUAAUAGAAUAGGACUUUGGUUCUAUUUUGUUGGUUUCUAGGACCGAAGUAAUGAUUAAUAGGGAUAGUUGGGGGCAUUAGUAUUUAAUUGUCAGAGGUGAAAUUCUUGGAUUUAUUAAAGACUAACUUCUGCGAAAGCAUUUGCCAAGGAUGUUUUCAUUA